UUAUUUAGCAAAUAAAUAAACAACUUGUACUGCCAUGUAGCGAUUUCGAUAGACGACGCCUUCAAGGGAGGAGGAGUCUACAACAUAUUGAAUUUAUCGAUCGAUUGUUAGGCCGAUUUCGAUCAGCAUUGUAUAGUUAAUGAAUGACAACUUGACGAGAUCUUGACACGCACGUUGGAAGUGUACGCGUGUUUGCACCUCGAUGAGCGUUGCACAAUAACAAAGCUCCGUUGGUGAGCGUAUUGAUUAAUAAAGCUAGGUGAAGUCCUUGAGUGCCUCAAGGACUUUGUUUUGUUUUAGCAGUAUUUUUUCCUUCAACAAUUAAUCUUGCAUCUCCAACCGUGGAAUGAGUUACAUGUGACUCGAGACAAACAAACAGUGCAAUUGCAACAAUAUAAUUAGUCAGCGGUAUGGUCACUAUCAGCAGCUUUACACACAGUGUGCAUCGUGAAUACAUCAAUCCCAGAGAAAACAUUCCAAUGGAAAAUAUUGAGAAUUUCUGCCCUUCUAUCCUGAACUAAACAAUGCUGGGAGAUUGGUUAUCUCUUCACAGAGAUGAGUCAUCCGCUCCUUGGACAACGCUGCGAUCGU
Molecule: long non-coding RNA, 591 nt
Filed under: Daphnia magna
Lineage: Eukaryota; Metazoa; Arthropoda; Branchiopoda; Diplostraca; Daphniidae
Description: uncharacterized LOC123473861, transcript variant X3
Source: RNAcentral